GGGCACCUCACUGAUUCUCUGAGCCCCAGCUGUCUCAUCCAGUGCCUGAUAGAAGUUAAGGCAGACGUCACUGGUGAAGUCCGAGAAUGCCGUCCUUCUGAGCAGAGAGCUCCGGACAGCCUCUAUCCAGGUUUACACGGGUGAUGAAGCUGUUCGCCAGUCGUGGGGAGCAAAUUCUCACAAAUCAACCGUGAGGGGUGGACGAGAGAAUCGAGGCCCAGGGCCCAAGACUUGAAGGCAUAUCUACAGUCUUCAAUCUGCCAGGAGCCUGUGGGUCCGUUGGUGUCCGAAGUGCUGGGCC
Molecule: long non-coding RNA, 301 nt
Organism: Camelus dromedarius (Arabian camel)
Lineage: Eukaryota; Metazoa; Chordata; Mammalia; Artiodactyla; Camelidae
Exons: 3
Source: RefSeq, a predicted model, not a curated record